RNAcentral lists this unclassified non-coding RNA (422 nucleotides) under Hevea brasiliensis (rubber tree). Lineage: Eukaryota; Viridiplantae; Streptophyta; Magnoliopsida; Malpighiales; Euphorbiaceae. The record is from RNAcentral.
UGUUAAUUAAAUACUAAUAUCCGAAACUGUCUGAGCAGAUUCUUCCAUGGUAAAGAUAUCUGUACACUGAUUUGUACAAGGAAUGUUGGAAAGCCAGUCCAUCCAAUGAUAAAGAUAUUCUGUACAACUUCCCAACUUCUGUGAAUCAACUAACUGUAUCUCAACCCUAUGUACACAUCCCACCAAAUGCAUAGUCAGUGAAGACAAGGAGCUUCCUCUUGUUCCAUAAUAAUCAGUCGUCGUUUCCUACCUUCAUCAAUUCCGACCACUCACCAGGCAUUCAUUCUUUCUUUUCCCUGUACAAAAGCACCUAUGCUAAUAAUUACAAAUUCACAAUCUAUGUAGCAGUGAAACUAUGAAAGAUGGAAUGACCCUUGUCCUUCUGUUAUGGCGUACAAAAGCUUCUCUUUCAUCUUGUCCUU